This 72-nucleotide transfer RNA is filed under the name Himantolophus sagamius (Pacific footballfish). RNAcentral's name for it is "tRNA-Leu". It matches the Rfam family "tRNA". Rfam says of the family: Transfer RNA (tRNA) molecules are approximately 80 nucleotides in length. Their secondary structure includes four short double-helical elements and three loops (D, anti-codon, and T loops). The record is from RNAcentral. Lineage: Eukaryota; Metazoa; Chordata; Actinopteri; Lophiiformes; Himantolophidae. RNAcentral also lists the same sequence under 2 other names.
GCUCCUAAAGGAUAACAGUCAUCCACUGGUCUUAGGAACCAGAAACUCUUGGUGCAACUCCAAGUAGUAGCU